RNAcentral lists this ribosomal RNA (433 nucleotides) under uncultured bacterium. RNAcentral's name for it is "partial 16S ribosomal RNA". It matches the Rfam family "Bacterial small subunit ribosomal RNA", at positions 29 to 507 of the family's 1533-position model. The record is from RNAcentral.
AACGAACGCUGGCGGCAUGCCUAACACAUGCAAGUCGAACGAGACCUUCGGGUCUAGUGGCGCACGGGUGCGUAACGCGUGGGAACCUGCCCUUAGGUUCGGAAUAACUCCCCGAAAGGGGUGCUAAUACCGGAUAAUGUCCUCGGACCAAAGAUUUAUCGCCUUUGGAUGGGCCCGCGUUGGAUUAGCUAGUUGGUAGGGUAAAAGCCUACCAAGGCGACGAUCCAUAGCUGGUCUGAGAGGAUGAUCAGCCACACUGGGACUGAGACACGGCCCAGACUCCUACGGGAGGCAGCAGUGGGGAAUAUUGGACAAUGGGCGAAAGCCUGAUCCAGCAAUGCCGCGUGAGUGAUGAAGGCCUUAGGGUUGUAAAGCUCUUUUACCCGGGAUGAUAAUGACAGUACCGUGAGAAUAAGCUCCGGCUAACUCCGUG